CCCUGGGUGGCUCAAACAGUUAAGCACUCAGCUGCUAACUGAAAGGUUGGUGGUUCAAGUCUACCCCGAGGUG
RNAcentral lists this transfer RNA (73 nucleotides) under Loxodonta africana (African savanna elephant). It matches the Rfam family "tRNA". From Rfam's summary of the family: Transfer RNA (tRNA) molecules are approximately 80 nucleotides in length. Their secondary structure includes four short double-helical elements and three loops (D, anti-codon, and T loops). Further hydrogen bonds mediate the characteristic L-shaped molecular structure. tRNAs have two regions of fundamental functional importance: the anti-codon, which is responsible for specific mRNA codon recognition, and the 3' end, to which the tRNAs corresponding amino acid is attached (by aminoacyl-tRNA synthetases). tRNAs cope with the degeneracy of the genetic code in two manners: having more than one tRNA (with a specific anti-codon) for a particular amino acid; and 'wobble' base-pairing, i.e. permitting non-standard base-pairing at the 3rd anti-codon position. The record is from Rfam by way of RNAcentral. Lineage: Eukaryota; Metazoa; Chordata; Mammalia; Proboscidea; Elephantidae.